Long non-coding RNA from Dermochelys coriacea (leatherback sea turtle), 9800 nucleotides. RefSeq lists it as uncharacterized. The record is from RefSeq and is a predicted model, not a curated record. NCBI's taxonomy places the organism in Eukaryota, Metazoa, Chordata, Testudines, Dermochelyidae. The transcript is spliced from 4 exons.
AGGGGCGUGGCCAGCGUCCGGCCAGCGGCGGCCAAUCAAUGCGUGGGGCAGGUUAUAAAUAGGGGAGGAGGUGCGCGCCGCGCAAGUGGCGCAGUAAGGUGAGAACGUCUCGAGCCGGCAGAAAUGGCACGGCACCUCGUUUGGCGCGCCUCUGCCUCAGAUCCAUCCUUCCUGCUCCUAGACUCCUUGUGGUGGCUGGUUCCCAUCCCUAUUGGGCCGUGGCAGCAAGCUAAGGGAGAGUGCAUACCGAUCUUGUUGAUUUUUCCUCUCAGGCAGCACAGCAGCCACAAAAGGGUGGCCUGGCACCGUUCACCCUUGUUGCACUGCCCAGGCAGUUGAAGCACCCACCAUGGGUCACACUCCAGUUGCGAGAGGGAGUGUUUGUACCACGUAGAGGUCAACAAGCUUUUGUACCAGCUCUUGAUCCUGUGCUGCAAGGUUGGAAUCUGUAGGACCAGCCGCUGCCUGUCCUGCAGCUUGUCCAAGCAUGCUUGAUCCAUUAAGGUACCACUUGGCCUUUGGUAAUGGCCUGAAUGGGACGAGAGAAGGAGGCAUCAUUGCAACCUCACCGCUUGUUAUGUUACAUCACCAGAACCAGAGGAGAAGGCCCGGGACCAGUUUCCUGUCCUCCUUAACAUUUUGGACGAAAAAGAAAGUAGCAACAUAAGCCAUUGACCUUCCAGGAGUAGGAGUGGAGAAGACGACACAGGUGUAGUAGUCUGCUUUGUAGAGAAACAGGAACAAAGAAGAAGGUAUCAGUCUGAUCCCCACCCUUUUUCAUGAUUGGGAACAGAGAUGAAAGUGUGGGCCUAGUUUCCAACCUUAUUUCUGCAGAAUGGGAGAAAAAGGCAGAGGUCUAGUCCCCACUCUGCCUCUUGAAGUAGCAUCAGAGAAUUUAUGGGUCCUUAUCCUUGCUUGAACGUUUACAAGGUAUAGAUGGGAUUUGUGUUUUUAAGGUCUCAUCGAAAGAUCUCCUACACCAUAAACUGAAUGGAAUUCAGUUUAUCUUUUUCAGAAAGAUAAGGACUGAUUCAGUGUUGUCAGAGUUUUAAAUGUGUGGUUCCUGUUUAGCUUGGUAAUGUGGGUGUCCCAUUUAGCUAUGUGCUUGUGUCUGAACAUUUAUAGUUCUUCAGUAACUAUUAUUAAUAACAAAAACUGAAAAUAAGAGCUACUGUGAAGAGUUUGUCACCAAUUUUAUGCUGACUACUGGAUAUUUCACUUAAGGAGAGUAUUCUUAAAUGGUUAAGUCCACUAUUACAUCACUUAGAGAUGUCACUCAUUUCCUCCCAGUAUUUACAUUCCACACAAAUUUGGUCUGCUCACCUCUGUUUGAAUAACUUGCAUCAGAAAUAAUUAAUCAUGAAACUGAGAUUAUUGAUAUUUACACCAAGAGAAUUAAUCCUACAUCAUCAGCAUCUGCAAACAAUGUGUUUUACCUCCUACAGUUCAUUGAGACUUUCCUGGUAGACAAUGACCUAGGCUUGGAAAUAACACUUCUGUAUUCUCCUGACAACACAACAGCAAUGCAGUCUACCUACACACCCUCAUCAAUCCUCUGGAAACUCCCAAGUACAGAAUGCAGCAGCACAUCUCAGCAACGAGGUCUGCAAUUAAUAUAUCAAACCUGUCCACUCUUCACUAUACUUAUUUCCCAUCAAAUAUGUUAGAUUCAAGGUCUCCAUCCUUACUUCCAAGAUAUUGAACAUGGUGACCCUAAAGGUCACUUAAAGUUCUAGGAUGAGGACUGUGUUCAACAGCUCCAGACCUCUGGCACAAUGGAAUUCUCUACCAGAAGAACAAAGCUUGUUUAUGCAGGAGACAGCUUUCUCACAUGCCUGCGCAAAACAGGAAUAAACUCAGAAUCUAAAUCCCGUACUCCCAUUAAACUUACUGUUUUCUGAUCCAAGUGCAAAACCCACUUUGGUCUUACAUUUUAAUAUAAACACACAGCACAGUAUACUGGUACAAAUGGUUAAAAGCAAAAUAGCUCAUAAUUUUUCCUUCUGGGAACAAGAUGAGAGAGAGAGAAAGAAAGAACCAUACAUGGUAGAUAUGUUAAUUAAUGCACUUUUGUAAGGUGCAUAGGUACUGCAAUACAGAAGGCAAUGUAAGAUCUUGAAUAGAAAUAGAAUAAUCAUUUUAAAUUUUCUGCAUGAAUAAUUUUCUGUCUCCUUCGUAUUGGGUCCCAUAUUUGUGCCUUGGAAAGUUGAAAGGUAUGCUGUGUGGCAUUUUCAGAACCUGCCCUCUCUUCAGAAUGUAUGUCCUUGCUCCAGGAAUAGUUCUAAAAAAGCAACUCUGGCUCUGGGUAAUAGCUUUAGAUAUGAAAGAAAUAUGCUGUAGGUGACUGAAGAUAUUUCUUUGACUGAAUCCAUUAAAUACUUUAAAAAGUGGGACAAAAUUAUUUCCUGCAUAACAUUUGUGAUCUGAAGAGCUACCAGCAUGGUAACAUGGUUUGAGUUCUUUGCUGCUGAUUCACUUUUGUUUGUUCUACAUAAAAUUUCUUCAACUGUGUUAGCUGCUUAAGUGGAGAAUGUGGGGUAAGUACAUUUCUUUUUGUUGUCUGUCUCUUGUUCUGAACAGUUGACAUCAAGCCUUCAGAGAAAAAGAUGCCAGAAAAUUUUAUUCAGUCACAGCAGAGAGGAAUAGCCCAUUUUCUAUGGUCUGCUACUAGUGUUUUUAAGCGAGGAAGUUUAGAAUUAGCAGUUCACAAAUGUGGUUGGUUGUGCCUCCUCAUGCUCUGUUGUGGAAUUGGACACUGCACAGGAAACACCUAAUCAUGCAAAGACUUGCACAGUUAGUUAACUUUAUGUAUUUUGAAGUCAAUGGAACUAUUCACAAGUAUGUACAGUUAAGCAUGUGUGUAAAUCGUUGUAAGAUCAGCGCUAAAGGAGUUAUUUUUACAUGAAGGAUAUUGAAGUGAUUAUUGGUACCUUUGCUCCAUGACUUGUACUAGAAAUUUCAAAUGAGGUUUAUCAAGAAAAACUACAAAUUGUGAGUAACCAACCACUUUUAAAAAAAAAAAAUCAAAUGGAGAGUAGGAAAUAAGGUCAUCCAUUUCUGUGUACCUCUAAUGUAUGUAACUUCAGGAAAUACUCCAACCCAUUGUUAAAAUUCUUUCAGCUGGGUCUAGAAAAAGGUUCAGAUUAAACCUAACUGUUUUAAAAUUUAGGUUUAUGACAAAACUAAGCUAGUUGUUGGAUUUUUUUUUUUGCUAUAACAAAACUGUUGCUAUAACUCUUCUUUCCUCCUUUAAAAAUAUUUUAAGCAUUUGUUUCCUGUUAUAAACUAGAGAAGAUAAAAGAUGCAAGAAUGAAAAAAUACUAUAAGAUGAUUCAAUAUUUAAAAAAACAACAACAGACGUCAGGUUGUUCCUUCAAAAGUGUUGGUCAUAGGAUUGCGAAGAAGUUUUAGAAUUGCUCCAUAGAAAAUCUGAGCAUCUUCAGUCUACGCCAUGGAAUUUUUAGAAGUAGUAGUUUGGAAAUUUUGUUGCAAAGAUUAAUGAUUUCAUGCCUCUGUGACUAAGCAAAAUACACCAUGUGUAGAAUAGUUAGAGAGACAGUAAAAAAAAAGUCUCUAAAAUGUCUCAUACAGAACCUCUUAAUGAACAAAACAUCAUAUAUGACAAAGAGUAUAAAGACAAAUUGGUCAAGGCAAGAAAAUCCAUAUAAUCUAGGUACCAGGGAGUACAGGUGUUUGGAAGAAUUAUUUGGUGCUACUGAGGCUAAAUAAACACAGAAGAGAAACUGAAUUGCAUGGAAAUGUGCCAACCAGGGAAUCAAAGGAAUGAGGUGCUGCAGCAUGGAGUGUGGGGAUAGCUAUAAUUGAUAUUUUGUCUGACUAUAGAGAUAAAAGAAUUUUAAGCAAUUGUAAAAAUGGAUGGUUAGAGCUACACUACAAAGUUAGGUUGACAUAAGUCCACUUGUGUUGACUUAGUUAUGCAUGUGUCCUCACUUGUAUUUGUCUUCUGCUGACUUAAGUGGCCUCUUCCAGUGAUACAGUAACAGCUCCUCCCUGAGCGGUACAGAGCCAUAGUCAAACUACUGAGGUCAAUGCAGUGCAAAUAUAGACACUGCAUUAGUUGUGUCAACCUUAACAGUGCUCCAGCACCCGUCCAACAAUGCCUCUGUCCUUGUAACAGUGACUGUUCUGGUCAAAGUUUGAAUUCCCCAGCCCAAGGGUCACAGAGAUUGGAAUCCCCCCAACACCUUUUAAACCCCUCCAUGUUUUUGAAAUUCCUUUUCCUGAUUGCCCACCUUGGUGAGCACACUUAGCACACCUUUUUUGUGUGUAGCCAACUGACCAUGCCAGUUCCACACACACAGAAAGCUACUAAAGGCGCUCCAGCCUGAGACGUAUUGGAAGUAUUGGAUCUCCUUGGUCUGUAGAAAGAAGACUAUGCAAGCAUGGCUCUGGACCACCCAUAGAAACAUGGACAUCUAUGGGCUGAUUGCACAAGGAAUGCUGGCAAAAGGGCAUGACAGAAAUCAGCAGCAGUGUCACAUGAAAGUGAAGGAACUACCCCAGGCAUAUUACAAGCAAGGAGGGCAAAAAACACAUUUUGUGCUGCCCACAGACCUGCCACUUUUACAACAGAUUGCAUGCCACAAUUGGCAGUGACCCAACCUGAACCCUACAGUCAGCUGUGGACACCUCAGAGAAGACUGAGAUGGAGAUCCCUGCCAUGAACCAUGAGGAGGAAGCAGGAGCGGGAGAGAGACAGCAGGGCACUAAAACUAUGCCAUGAACUAGGAACUGUUUGAAACUCUGCAGCAGUCUAGCCAGGUGGGUCACCGAUGAAAGGGAAGAGAGCUUGGGUAACUGCAUAUAUGCAUUAUUCCUUGCCAUUUUUUUCCUUUUCCUUUCCCUUAUACCUCAUCUCCCUUAUCCCACCUCACGAUCUUUGUUCUCCAUUGAAAAAUGGCUUCAGCCCAUUAACAGAUUAAGGCACAAGGAUCAACUUUUCAUUGCUGUACGGGUAUAAUGUUAGAAAGCAAAAGGUUAGGGAAUUCAUUUAUACAGUCUGGUUACACAAUCCAGUUACGCAGCCCACGUCACAUCUGUGUCUUGUGCUCAGGUAGAGGUAGAUCAAACGGAGUUAGUAUUGACAUCUGGCUCACUGGGCUAGGGGGAGUACUCUGUUUAUCAGAAUAGGGAUGUGUCUCAUUGUCUUGAGAGAGCUCAACGAAACUUGAAAGCUACACUGCAAUCCUCUCCCAAAAUUUUUUAGUGAUUGCAGCCUUGUUUCUUCCAUUGCAAUAGGACACGAUUGUGCUGAGCUCUGCAGCUCCAUGCUUCUGUUAGAGUGAAGAUGUGUGCCAAGAAGUGCUACAGAGGACUGUGAUCGUUUUGAAAAAGACGUAAAAAUUAUGGGUUGUGAAAAGUAGUAUGGGAUGUUGAGCAUGGCAUAGUAGGAACUUGACCCCUAGCUUCCAGAACUCCCUGGGUGAUUUGUUAUAAUCCCGCAAAGUUCUGUGGAAAUGUCUCAAAAAAUAUUGCACUGGAUGGCAGGGCAGGCUUACCUACUCCUCUUUACAUUGACAUUAUGAUGAUAGAAGCAGUCCUGGUUAGUACACACAGCACUGAUGCAAGCAGUCAAGUGUUCAAAUACAGACUGAUAAUUCAAACUUCAGUCGAUGUAUGCAACGUAACUUGUGUCAACCAAACUUUGUAGUGUAGAAGUAGAUGUUGUUGUCUACAAAGAAAAUAAAAUCUGAUAUGGCAACUAUUUCCAGUCUUAAUCCUAGCAAUUCAAGUAUAUUGGAAAGUGCUAAUAGAAAUAAAGUUUUUUUUAUCAACAAGGUCAUCAUUAAAUCUAGAUUCUGUUCCGUAAAAUUACAAAUGAUAGAAAAGGAGAAAAAGUCUACUCUUUGUGCUCAUAGAGGUGAAUUGGCUUCCAAGGAAAAUCAAAGCUUUGAAUGUAAUGCUGAUGAUUGAUAUUUCAGUGUGUUACAUCUGAAAAAAUGAAUGGGUGGACUAAAAAAUUUUAAUAUGCUUAUUAAUAUUUGUUGGCUAUUCCAUGGUAAGUCUUGACUUUGGCAAUUAUAACACUCUUGCUGUGUAGGUAAAAUGCAUUUUUUAUUGAGGCCUCUUCAUGCUUUCUUAGGGAGAAGCUGCAGUGUGGGGUAUGCACACACAAAGUCACUCUUGAGCUAACUAAUGAUAAGCAGGAAAAUUGAUAUAUAAUAUUUUUGUAUGUAUAGAAAUAUCAUUGGGGGAUCUUUAGUAAUCAUUCUAAUGAAUGAUAAUUGAACAAGCACUUUUUUCUUUGUGUUCUUGUAAGAUGCAUCAAACAUUAAUCAUCAGGAAAGAUUUUGGAGUACAAUGGAAAGAUCCAUUUGGCCUUCUACCAUUGUGAUAUAGUCGAUAAAUCAUUUCUGAGCAAUGAAGAAUAUCGGUCAGAUUUAGAAUUGCUAUCUCACUUUCUCAAAUGUUUCUAUUCUAGGCUGAGCUUUAAGAAAAACUGGUGAUUUAGCUAGUUAAGCUAAUUGCUUACCAAAUAAGAAAUAUAUAAUUAUUUUUGGAACAGUUUUGGAAAUGCUUGUUAUGUUUGAGUAUUUUUAUAAUGAAUGAUUAUCUGUCAGAGAUGCCAUUUUACUUACACUUUUUAGUGGGAAGUACAGGUGGAUGAUGAAAUUGUUUGAAAUACAAUGCACCUUUUCUCCUGAAAGCAAGAAAAAAAUGGGAGCUUUUCAAACUUGUAAAAUAAGCGUUGAUACACAUUUGAAACUAAGGGUUAAUUUAGCAGCAGGAUAAUAUAAUCAAAUCUGAAUGUUCUAGUCAGUUUAUUGGAUUUAUGUUAAAGUCCUCCUGGAACUUUCUGUACAGCUGGCAUUUAAAAAACAACUCUUUGAAAUGUGUUAGUUUACAUAUUAGUAAUUAUGCUUAGACUUAUUUUUUUAAUUAAAGUGAAGAUGUCAAGUGUGUAAGUCCUCUUCUCCCUCUCCAACACAAAUGUAUGUACUUCUGUCUGAUUGAUAAGUUAUGUUGCAUUGUACUUUGUUCUGUACUUUUCUUAAUAAUUAUGUGCUCUUUGGCCAUGUCUAGACAGGGACGCUCAGGCAAGUUAAGGCACAUAAGUUAUAGAACGUUAGAUCUGCAUGUCUAAUUCAGUCCUUAUUUUGUUGUAGCUUAAUCCUCCUCUGAGGAUGUUUACUCCUGAAUGAGAGCAUCCACAUUGUGGUUUAGUGGGCUUUAAUUUAUGCGCAUUAACUUCACACAUUUCAUUGAUUCACCUUAACUUUCCUGAGUGUCUCCAUGUAGAUAAGCCCUUACUUAUCAGUAGUUCCUGCAUAAGUCUUAAAUGGUGGAAGAAAGAAAAGACCAUAUGGAUUAUGGGACUGAAGACGUGUAUGUACGCCUUGUUGAUGAAUCUCUGUCAGAAUCUGAGGUUGGAAAAAAUGUUGCUAUGGAUGUUUUUUGUAGAACCACUGUAAUGUUUGGCAUCUGUCUAAUGUGUCAUUGUUUCCUCACUCAUGUGGAUCCAAAAUUCAUAGUAUCUUUCAACAUUCAUUAUAUUUUAUAUAGAUAAUUUGGAGGAAAUUCAGAAAAGGGAGUUGAAGGAUUUGAGUUCAGUUGGGGGAGUGAGAAACCUACAUCUGAGAAAUUGAUGUACAGGUACAGAUACUGUUACUUUCCAGAGGUUUGGGAAAAGAUUCUGGCAUUUCAGUUGAGACCAGGAAGGAAUGUGCAGCCAGGAAGGAGGUAAAGAUAAGAGAGAUCCUAUAAUGGUUUGGUUGAUGAGACAAAAAUGCUGCUCAAGUAAACAUUUCUAUAAUUUCUUUUCUUGAUAUUUUCAGAACAUUGAUAUAUUACCAGUUAUAUUUUUCAAACAAAAUUACAAAUAAAGUGGAUAAAAAUAUGGUUGAUACUUUGUCUAGAAAAAACUCCUCAAUGUCUUGAUUCUACUGCUAAUGCUUUUUUUUUUUAAUAGAUUUUUACCUUUACCAUCUCUUCUACAACUUCUCAGUUACAGAGCUGGUUGUGUCUGCUGAGAAAAAAUGGGGGCUGUGUAUCACUGGCAGAUGGAUGGCACUAGAGCUAUUUCAUGUCACAGUUUCAUCAAAUGUUCUGAUAUAAAUGUUGAACGCAGAAGAAAUGCCCUGGUGAUAGGCACUAUAUGAAAUCCUAAAACAGAGCUAAAUAGAGCAUUGCUAUCUUUACCCUAGUUUUUUAAGGCAUAUUGGGUCCUCAUUGCAUAAAUUGCUUCGGUAUUCUCCGAUGAAAGCAACUACAGAAAUGGAAAGUGUUAUUUAUUCAAAAUGGCUGAUGGCCCCAAUCAGAAUCAGGGGACACAAUUAUGCUAGUGGCUGCAAAAUUAUGAAGGAAAGGACAUAUCUCUGUCUUUACAUGCUUACAGUCCAAAUUUGGACAAGUCAAACUUCUCUGGGUCUCACUUUCCCUAUAAAAUUGGGGAUAAGACUUACUUACCGGAUACUGGCAUUAUUCAAGGUAAAUUCAUGUUUGUGAUGUGUUUUGAAACAAUGAGCACUAUGGCCAGAUUCAACAAAGCACUGAAGCAUGAGCUCAACUUCAGCUUUCAUCCAGUUAUUCCAGAAUAUCUCUACCUUCAUAACUAUUAUGAGCACGUGUAUUCUCCUCCCCCAAGGGGGGGCGGGGUCCAGAUUAAACUUCUAGCUCUUAUCCACCUUCUUUUGUGGUCAGAGGUGGUGGUGACAACGUCUGGGAGUCUUGAAUUUCUAUUACAGUACAACCUCAGAGUUACAAACUGACCAGUCAACCCCACACACCUCAUUUGGAAUCGGAAGUAUGUAAUCAGGCAAUAGCAGAGCCUAGACCCACCCCCCCCCAAAAAAAGGGGGGGAGAGAAUACACAGUACUGUACUGUGUUAAAUAUACACUACUAAAGGGAAAGUUUUAAAACAAAUUGACAAGGAAACUUUUUAUGCUCUUUUCACUUAAAUUAAGAUGGUUAAAAGCAGCAUUUUUCUUCUGUAUAGUAAAGUUUCAAAGCUGUAUACUAUUAAGUCAAUGUUCAGUUGUAACCUUUUGAAAGUACCAUAACAUUUUGUUCAGAGUUAUAAACAUUUCAGCGUUUCAAACAGCCUCCAUCCCAAGGUGUUCAUAACUCUCAAGUUCUUCUGAACUUGAAGUGGGAUAGUAUAUACCUAUCUCAGCUAUUGGUUCAGGCUGCAUGCAGAUUCAGGCAGAGAACUAUAUACUCUUCAUGUUUGAAAGGUUGCCCUCAGAACAGUUCCAUGGCCAUAGUGAACAGUGCCUUGCUGUACUAUAAACAGUUUUCUAAAUGAUGCAACAUGCCCCAUCUACAUAAAGCUUUUCCAUGUUUUGAAGAAGAGUAUAUAGGCAUCCUCAGUUAUGGCUGAAGUUUGUUGGAAUAUGGUUUGGAUGGCCAAAGCAUAGAGUUGACUCUGAAAUCGGAUGCACUAGUGUGUACUCUAGUGGAGCUCUAUGCCACUGCAUGGAUUUAUGCGAGUGCAGGCAAUGGCAGGACUGUGGCCCAAAUUACUUUAUACAAAGCUGUUGUACGAUGGGUCUCUACAGGAACUAAAACUUUCUUUUUUUUUUAAACUGAUAAAUUUUUUUCCUCACUCACAUUGAAUGUCCAACCUGUAUAAAUUGUGCUGGUCAAAAAAAAAAUUGUGAAAGUUUUUCCAUCAAAAUUAUGAAAUUAGAAAAAUUUUGUCUAGCCCUGGGUCUAUGACCCACUUCAGCCAGAAGCAAAAUAUAAACAUUGCUUAAGUAUGUUAAAUACUGUUGAAAGCCCUAUGUAGAUUCAGCCAUAGUGGGCUCCUUGGAUAAUAAGCAAUCAAAACAAUUAAAAA